CAAAUGUGAAUUUUUUUAAAAAAAGAAAACUCCCUGGUCUUCCAUUUGCUGCGUGGGACACCUCCUUGGCGAGUGACAUGUGAAAGUACCAGGAACGUGAAGGCUCAUUUUUUUUUUUUUUUUUUUAGACGGGAAACGUCGUCUUCUAGCAAUAGGUAUGUCCCAGUGCAGACGGGGAUGCCGUAACAAUGAGAGCUCCUGUAUUCCUAAUUUCAAGGAUUAUUAAAAUUCCUGGCUGCAGCAAGGGAGACCAGAAAAUCAGCAACGCCACAGCUGCAGGAGGCCGUAAGCUCCUUGAAGGCCGGGCCAUGUCUGUUCUGUCUCGAUCUGCCACAAGCAAAAUGCACACAGUAGGUCUUCAAGUAUCUACUGAAUGAAUGGUGCUUGAAUCCUCAAUACAAGAAUUAGAAAGAACAUGAUUUGGGGGCUUGAGUGUUCCAAUCUGAGCAACCUCAUGGACACCUUUUCUCUGAUGACGAUGUCGGGAUCCACACAAAACACCACUGGCUAUGAGCUUCGCUGACUUUUCCUGGCCUGCGAACCAAGUUCACUGGUUCAUCGGACGCUUUGCCGCAUGCUGGUCUCUUCAUUAUGUUUUUCCUCUGAUUUGGCUACGAUUUAGGAAAGGGUCGCACCUCAGAUGUUCGUUUUGCAAAUAAGGUGGCUGAAGGAAAAAAAAAAAAAAAAGCGAUGUCAAGUCUCACAUUUCGGAGAUACUUGGGCUUCUUCUUCACUCUGAGAUAGAAAUGUAUCUUCCAAUUUGCUCGGCCCUCUAAGCUCCUGCAACAUUAAAUGUGAACGUUUCCG
Molecule: long non-coding RNA, 807 nt
Organism: Lynx canadensis (Canada lynx)
Lineage: Eukaryota; Metazoa; Chordata; Mammalia; Carnivora; Felidae
Exons: 3
Source: RefSeq, a predicted model, not a curated record